GCAAUGAGGAAACGGGGUUGAACAAAACCCGCAGUGUGUUCAUCAGUGGGCAAGAUACUACUUGUUAGCUUCGGGGAAAGUGUCCUUUGUUUAUGGUUGAAGGGUUGGAGUCAUGAGGAGUGCAGAACGAGACUUUGCCCAACACUUUCUUCUUACACUCCGCUCAUAUACAGCAACUUCUCAAAGAAGACAAAAAUGAAGAGCGGAAUAAAGAUGUUAGUCAUGGCUUUUUUAAUCUUUCUUCUGAAUUCAGGCAACAUCAAAGAGCAUUGCACUGGAGACUUCUCCUACGAGAUGCCUGGACCUCAGCAACUGCAGUGUCGCUUUACAGGUGUGUACCCGGAGGGCGCUAUACACUGGUUUCAACAUGACAGGAAUUUGACCUCCAUUGCUACACUGUCAAUCCUGAAUAACCCAGAUGGAACCUUCAACAUCACAAGUGUUAUAGACCGUCAGGACGAUCACGACAGAUAUAAGUGCUCAUUGUGGUCAUUAAAACAGGGUCGAUACCUUGCAGAUCAAGAGUUCAAAGUGCACGUUGAUGCUGAUUCCAGUCGUUUAAGCAAGAGCGCCACACAACACUGUUUCUCAUGGACUCCUCUACUUCAAGGCCUCUUGUUUGUCUCUAUAAGAUCAAUAAGUCAACUAAACUACUAUUAA
Molecule: long non-coding RNA, 660 nt
Filed under: Danio rerio (zebrafish)
Lineage: Eukaryota; Metazoa; Chordata; Actinopteri; Cypriniformes; Danionidae
Description: lncRNA (ENSDARG00000117537.1)
Source: RNAcentral